GGGGUUGUGGCUCAGUGGUAGAGCACUUGCCUAGUGCAUGCAAGGCCCUGGGUUCGAAUCUCAGCACCA
This 69-nucleotide transfer RNA is filed under the name Ictidomys tridecemlineatus (thirteen-lined ground squirrel). Its description in RNAcentral is "Spermophilus tridecemlineatus (thirteen-lined ground squirrel) tRNA". It matches the Rfam family "tRNA". Rfam says of the family: Transfer RNA (tRNA) molecules are approximately 80 nucleotides in length. Lineage: Eukaryota; Metazoa; Chordata; Mammalia; Rodentia; Sciuridae. The record is from Rfam by way of RNAcentral.